GGUGAAUCGAACCACUUCCUGGCUGGUCUUUUCCAUUUCUUUCUCACUGAGCUGUGGAAGGCACUCGGGACAGACGGAGGCUGUGAGGACCCUUCCUAGUGUUACUCCUUCUUGAAAGCUGAGGACUCACCGGAAGGAUCUCUCUCGAGACUGUCUGCUCGAAUUAGUUCUAUCAUUAGUUUGCAUUUUCUACAAAUGAAGAGAACGGAGGGCCAGCACAACAGAGGCAGAAGCAUGAAGCCUUUCGGGGAGAAAUAGAAGAAGGUGUAUAAAGGCCAAGGAAGAGCUGACAUGAUCCCAGCGGUGGCGCGCAACAACCACGUGAUGGGAAAACAGAAGG
Molecule: long non-coding RNA, 340 nt
Organism: Rattus norvegicus (Norway rat)
Lineage: Eukaryota; Metazoa; Chordata; Mammalia; Rodentia; Muridae
Source: RefSeq, a predicted model, not a curated record